RNAcentral lists this ribosomal RNA (819 nucleotides) under Triticum aestivum (bread wheat). RNAcentral's name for it is "partial small subunit ribosomal RNA". The record is from RNAcentral. Lineage: Eukaryota; Viridiplantae; Streptophyta; Magnoliopsida; Poales; Poaceae.
AUGGCGGAAAACAGGAGCUCUCAGCGGAGGCAGGGGAAGGAACCUGCUGAAGAAUUGCUUGCCCGGCUCACGCUACAGGAGGAAGAAGAGGACGAAUUCAUAUGGGAGGAGGAGCUGCCGGAUAUGGUAGAACCGGCGAAGUGGUUAGCAAUUGCCAGAGUCCAUACACCAAAGACCUUCAGCCCUAAUGCGCUGUAUAAUGACAUGCGUGUGGCAUGGAACCCUGCCAAACAGGUGGUAUGGAGGAAGAUCAAAACUAAUUUGUUCACAGCGCAGUUUGGGUGCCUGGGUGAUUGGAAUAAGGCGAUGGUUGAAGGGCCGUGGUUAUUCAAGGAGCAGGCUGUGAUCAUGGAGGAAUAUGACGGGUUUAAAAACCCUGAUACUUUCGAGCUAGAUAAGCUCUCUGUGUGGGCACAAAUUCAUCGUUUGCCGGAUAAGUUCUUGAUUGAGCGUGCUGUAAAGGGUUUGGCAUCUAGAAUUGGAGAAGUGGAAGAAGUACAACUGAAGCUACCGGCGGGUUUCUUUGGUGAAUUUGUGAGGGUUAAAGUCAAGAUAGAUAUUAAUGCUAAGAUAAAACAUUUUGUUACUGCAAAGAAGGGAGAAGAAAGUGGGAAGUACCAAGUGAAAUAUGAGAAGCUACCAACUUUUUGCUACAACUGUGGCGAGUUUGGUCAUUGGCAUGAGGAAUGUGGAGAUGGGGAGCAUGAUGAGUCUACCUUUGAGUUGGGGGAUUUUCUGUUUGCUGACAACGUACGGUUCAAACCAGCUGGUAGGGGAAAUUAUGUCCCGCAAUGGGGAGGGGGAAGACAAGGAACAUGA